CCCUUAGAUGUUCUGGGCUGCACGCGCGCCACACUUAUGCGUUCAACGAGUUUAUGACCUUCCUCGAUAGGGUUGGGUAAUCUUCUUGUGAAUCGCACUGCGAUGGGGAUAGAUUAUUGCAAUUUUUAAUCUUCAACGAGAAAUUCCUUGUAAGCGCGAGUCAUCAGCUCGUGCUGAUUGCGUCCUUGCCCUUUGUACACAUCGCCCGUCGCUCGUACCGAUUCAGUGAUCCGGUGAAUAUUUCGGACUGCAGCAGUGUUCUGCUCCUGAACGCUGCAGCGGAAAGUUUAGUGAAUCUUAUCACUUAGAGGAAGGAGAAGUCGCAAUA
This 328-nucleotide ribosomal RNA is filed under the name uncultured eukaryote. Its description in RNAcentral is "partial 18S ribosomal RNA". It matches the Rfam family "Eukaryotic small subunit ribosomal RNA", at positions 1470 to 1796 of the family's 1831-position model. The record is from RNAcentral.